CGGGAAAAACGGCGGCUAUACAUGCAGUCGAACGGGAUUGGAGAGCUUGCUUUCCAUGAGAGUGGCGUACGGGUGCGUAACGCGUAUGCAACCUACCUUCAUCAGGGGGAUAGCCCGAAGAAAUUCGGAUUAACACCGCAUAACAUUAUUGGAUGGCAUCAUUUAAUAAUCAAAUAUUUAUAGGAUGAAGAUGGGCAUGCGUGUCAUUAGCUAGUUGGCGAGGUAACGGCUCACCAAGGCGACGAUGACUAGGGGAUCUGAGAGGAUGACCCCCCACACUGGUACUGAGACACGGACCAGACUCCUACGGGAGGCAGCAGUAAGGAAUAUUGGUCAAUGGAGGCAACUCUGAACCAGCCAUGCCGCGUGCAGGAAGACUGCCUUAUGGGUUGUAAACUGCUUUUAUACGGGAAUAAACCUUGAUUCGUGAAUCGAGCUGAAUGUACCGUAAGAAUAAGGAUCGGCUAACUCCGUGCCAGCAGCCGCGGUAAUACGGAGGAUCCAAGCGUUAUCCGGAUUUAUUGGGUUUAAAGGGAGCGUAGGCGGCCUAUUAAGUCAGGGGUGAAAGACGGUGGCUCAACCAUCGCAGUGCCUUUGAUACUGGUAGGCUUGAAUGUAGUUGAGGUAGGCGGAAUGUGACAAGUAGCGGUGAAAUGCAUAGAUAUGUCACAGAACACCGAUUGCGAAGGCAGCUUACUAAGCUAUGAUUGACGCUGAGGCUCGAAAGCGUGGGGAUCAAACAGGAUUAGAUACCCUGGUAGUCCACGCCCUAAACGAUGAUAACUCGAUGUUGGCGAUAUACAGUCAGCGUCCAAGCGAAAGCGUUAAGUUAUCCACCUGGGGAGUACGCCCGCAAGGGUGAAACUCAAAGGAAUUGACGGGGGCCCGCACAAGCGGAGGAGCAUGUGGUUUAAUUCGAUGAUACGCGAGGAACCUUACCCGGGCUUGAAAGUUACUGAAGAAUUUAGAGAUAGAUUCGUCCUUCG
Molecule: ribosomal RNA, 986 nt
Filed under: uncultured bacterium
Lineage: Bacteria
Description: bacterial SSU rRNA
Rfam family: Bacterial small subunit ribosomal RNA
Source: RNAcentral